GACGAACGCUGGCGGCGUGCUUAACACAUGCAAGUCGAACGGUAAGGCCCUUCGGGGUACACGAGUGGCGAACGGGUGAGUAACACGUGGGUGAUCUGCCCUGCACUUUGGAUAAGCCUGGGAAACUGGGUCUAAUACCGGAUAGGACCAUGGACUUCACGGUUUGUGGUGGAAAGCUUUUGCGGUGUGGGGUGGGCCCGCGGCCUAUCAGCUUGUUGGUGGGGUAAUGGCCUACCAAGGCGACGACGGGUAGCCGGCCUGAGAGGGUGUCCGGCCACACUGGGACUGAGAUACGGCCCAGACUCCUACGGGAGGCAGCAGUGGGGAAUAUUGCACAAUGGGCGCAAGCCUGGUGCAGCGACGCCGCGUGGGGGAUGACGGCCUUCGGGUUGUAAACCUCUUUCAGUAGGGACGAAGCGCAAGUGACGGUACCUACAGAAGAAGCACCGGCCAACUACGUGCCAGCCGCCGCGGUAA
This 477-nucleotide ribosomal RNA is filed under the name uncultured bacterium. Its description in RNAcentral is "partial 16S ribosomal RNA". It matches the Rfam family "Bacterial small subunit ribosomal RNA", at positions 28 to 523 of the family's 1533-position model. The record is from RNAcentral.